This is a long non-coding RNA of Scylla paramamosain (green mud crab), 1701 nucleotides long. RefSeq lists it as uncharacterized. The record is from RefSeq and is a predicted model, not a curated record. The transcript is spliced from 4 exons. NCBI's taxonomy places the organism in Eukaryota, Metazoa, Arthropoda, Malacostraca, Decapoda, Portunidae.
UAUACUUUCAGCAAGAUGCAGUACUGCAUUCGAGAUUGGUUUGAGAUCUGGAACAUCAGGCUUGCCAACAGCUUGAAUUUUUCUAGUAUAAGGCAUAAAAUCACACACCACACCCAUGCUGUCUGCCAACACAAAUAUCUUAUAACCCCAUUUAUGAGUUUUUUUUAUUUCUUGAAUGUUUACCUCUCUCUUCAUAUCGUCCUUUCACUUCCUUAUUCUCUUCACAAUGCUGUUAUACAUGACUGACCUUGGAAGGGACCAUUUGCUCAUCUACACACAGGUUUUCUGUCGUGGGGAUUUGUGGAAACUUCUCCUGUAGGUGGUUAACUAGAGGUCUCACCUUGCAUAUUUUGUCAGUUUUGUCUAGUGUCGUGUUGUCAACAAAAUGCAGAUUUGAUUUUAUUUCCUUCACCCACUUCAUAACACUCAUCCCCGCUAACUUCGGCAUCACUGGCAGCUAACAAUGUUUCCACCAGCCUUUCGGUGGUGUUGGAACUUUUAUUUUGUCCGCAGAAUGCAGUAGUACUGCAGCAACGAGAGGGUCCUGCAAGAAUAUUUACUUGUCACUCAUUGUUUUUAAUUCAUUACACAUCUAUGGUGUUAUAGUGUAAAUCAAACCAAGUUUAAUAUAUAACAAAACUAUUUGCAUGUCACUGCAAAAAUAUAUCGGUAGUAUAACAAAGACGAAAAUAUUACUCAUUUAUAUAAUAGUAUUCAUUUGCCUGAUAGGACAGAAAUGUCACCUUUAAACAAGCACUACAGAUGUUUGGCAAAGGGUGAUAUGAGGAUUUUUGGGAUGUAAAUAUGAUCUUUAGGUGUGCGUUUAUCACAGCAAAUUUUGUCAUAAUUGUGCUUUACCUGGGGAUACAUCCAUGAUGCAGUGAAAGUGGCUGCUUUGCGCAACCUCCGGCACGCAUCCACCUGCUCUCAGUGUCCUGGUUCAUCCGAGAAGCGGCAACCAUUCCAGUGUAAACAAAGGUGCCGAUCGAAAGCUGAAACGGGACUUGUAUGUCCUGACCGGCGAGCGAACUCUGAUACUUGACAUCCGCAGAGUUAAAACCAUGUAUUCCAAGGAGGACAUAUUUGUCCUCUUCGACAGUAAAGGGUUAAGACCCCUGUACUCCCAAAGCAAACCUCGUCUUUAAUUUUCAGGGAGAGUGAUCUAUACUAUCCCUAUUACUACUACUAUUAUGACUAUUUCCAGGUUAAAAGUGACUACCUGGAGGAUGAAAGCAGGGCGGCAGAAGGCAUGGAUUUCGACACAGCCAUCCAGCUCGUUUGCAUCGAAAUCAAGCGAGUCUUUAAGCGGAUGAACGGAUGCGCGAUGGACAAGAAGUCAAAUCUUGAGCAGCCGGAGAAGGAAGUCGGUCUACAUGAAUUCCUACCGGCCUACAUCAUCAACACCACCAAACAGAAAACGUUACGUAAGGCUUUGCAGGGAAACUUUAAGAAAUUCUCGGCGUUCUUCGAUUACGAAUCUCACUUCAAGUGCCUCGAGAUUUUGGGAAAAGUUGGAAAGUUUGACAUCGAAAACUUCCGCUGUGCACUCGGCUGUGGUUGGUCUAUUCCUGUCACUCUGCUUGUCGGCCCAAGUGUUGGUAUUUCCUACUGGACAGAUUCUGCCUCUGCCGUAGCAGGUACUACAGAAGCCCUCACCAUCACCAUCACCUGCCCCUCCAUUGGCGCAGCAGAGAGCUUAGC